Molecule: long non-coding RNA, 9310 nt
Organism: Gasterosteus aculeatus aculeatus (three-spined stickleback)
Lineage: Eukaryota; Metazoa; Chordata; Actinopteri; Perciformes; Gasterosteidae
Source: Ensembl
AUAUUUACUCCCAGUGAGCUUUCAUUAUGUACACCAAAAGGUCAAAGUCAUUUAUUUUGUCUCCCACCCAAUAGGACGAAGUGGAGUUUAUUCUGCUGUCCUCUGAUAUUCCCACAUUUCUCACGCUCUCUCUCCGCCGCGCGUCUCCGCGCGCACGCAUGCGUCAAACCGGCAGCCCGCCACGAGGAGAUUUACAUCCUAUGUUUCUUCAGAUGCCACUGAAAUUAUUGUCAAAAAUAAAAAAAAGGAGCAUUUUUUUGGUGGGGGAAAUACCCCUCACCCCUCCCGACCUGCAGAACAAGAGGACGCCCCCGACUCUUUCCCAACACGAGCGCCGUCUGGAUUCCUGCAAUCCGCAGACCGCGAUUUUCGUCAGCAUCCACGAGGUAGAAUAAUGCAUGUUUCGGCGCAUUCUUCUGAAGUUUUUAAAUUAUGCCGUGUUAUCUUUCGCUCGACAGCCUAUUUGCAAUUCGAUAUGUGGCGUUUGUUGGCAGCCACAUAUGCACCGGCUUCGUUUUGAGAUCAAUGAAUUAGAUAGCCAGGGAAUUAUUUUAGGGGCUGAGCCUCACGAGAAGAGGGGGGGGUGAUAGGGUUCUUAUUUAAAAAAAGAAAACGAUUGUCUAAUAAACGCACGCCCGGAAGUUCCCUCGACAAUUAAACGAGAUAAUGAGAAAUGCUAAAGGUUUCCAUUUGUCAAGGAUUGAGUUAUAUAUUUAUUUUUCCAGCUGCAGCUUCUCUUCAUUCCGUGUCAAAUAUAAUCGUGAGGACAUUUGACAUGGAUAUAUUGUUUGACAUACAACGCUAAAAAAUAUAUGAUUUGGGCUAAAUCAAAUAUGUUUAAAAAAACAAAAACAUGCAGCUUAAAACUUCUCUCAACCUCCAAACUAAAGGCAUGCACGUGAAAUGAUUGCAUCGUCAUAGCAAACAGAGAGCAAAAAAAAGGGAACGAGGAGAAUAAGAGAGACAACAACAUGUAAUGUCAUGUAAUUCAACGGUGUAUUUCAGGUUCAUGGGGUUUUGAACACACUGUUAAAGGAAAAGCUCAGUAAAAAUAUUCUAAGAACAAUGGCUGGUGAAAAGGUGCAUUCCGAUCCAUUAAAAUACCCCAAAUGACCCAUUGUGAUAAAUAAUACAUUCCAAAUGACACAGGAAAAGUGGCACGUAUUCGGGGUGCCCUCGGCCCAGCCCUCCCGUUACGCACGCACGCGGGCACACGCGCCUGCACGCGCGCGCACACACACACACACAUAAGCACACAAAACUCGGAUUAACUAAGGACACAUGUCCAUCCAUCUCGCGUUAAAAAGUGAAUGGGGAGCGGCCUGACACACAGAGAGCCUAUUAGCCAACUGGGGCUCCCGCGGAGCGCAUUGAGGUAAGCUCCCCCAGCGGAACUGUCCAUGGUGCUGGAGCGGUAAGAGGGUUUCUUCACUGCACACGUGCGUCCUCCCUCAAAAACUCAAAAGAGCUAGGGUUGACAUUUCAAUGCCUUUCAUUGUAUUUCCAUCCCAUUUAGUGAUGGUUCUGUGACAAAAUCUAUAUUGGAAAGACACAGCUCACUUUCCUAACUUUUCUUUUUCAUCAGCAGUAUGUUUUUAAGCCAAUUUCUUCAUAGUGUGAAAGAACUAUUCCAUGUUUGGAACUAAUAUCUUUUUUUUAUCAUGAAUUAAAAUAAACACCUUUCUUAUGUUGCCCAACUCUCUGUCAAUUGCAAAAGUUUGAGCAGGGGCUUCAUAGCACGUGCCUUGUGUGUAGCAUUGCCUAUUGAGUUGAUUGUUAUUUACAAGAUGGAUUGUUAUUAGCGCUGACUGUGGUCUUUAUUAUUUACAGAUUAUAUUGGAGAUAAUACAACUCACAAACUAAACUUUAAAAACAACACGACAACAAAGUGCCCAAACCAUGUGCUCCUGGGUUGAAGGUUUACUGGUAUUUGUACCAUGCAGUAAUUAGCCAGCACCUGGCUUUGCUUUUAAAUGAUUCCACAGACCUAUUACAGUUUUCCAACUACCUUUUGAAAAUAUCAUAUGCUCUACCUUAAUUUUUAACUAAUUCUGACAGAAAUGAGAAUGAUCAAGACAAUUACGGAGAUACAGUGUUAACUUGCAGUGCUCAAUAUUUAGAAUGUUUUUCCGAUCUUUUCUUACAUUUUUCAACAAAAGUUACUGUAAUGCACUCAUUGAGGAGAAUAGUCGGGACCGUCAGUCAGCCCUCCAAGUCACUAUACUCAGUAUUCUUUUUGAGAAAACUUUAUUUUCUAUUUUUAAAAUAGAAAUAUUUAUCCUUAAUUAAAUUAAACUGUAUUUCGACUUUGAAAACAUUUAAAACUCAAAUUCAGCUCAUUAUACUAAAUAGUAUUCAUUAACAAUAAGAAGAAAUCGCAAAAGCAAUGAGCAGUAUGUGAGACGUAAUGCCAACAUGGGGUAUAUAUUACAGAAAACAUCCAACUACAUAUCAUAUCUUUGUGGUUACAUUUUUUCAGUAAGAUAGAAGUCUGUCUUGAAUAAAGUCUUUUAAAAUGACUAACCUUAAGCUGCUCUUUUUUUAUUCUGCAACACUGGAUGGUACAAAGCAGAACGGAAUUCAUUUUUUUGACAAAGGUUCAAGGCAUCGGGCAAUAAUGAAAGGAUAGGGGCGAUACUUCAAAGACCACAAGGUGCACAUCACACAAUUAUACAAUACAAUUAGGAUUAAAAGGGGCAAAGGAGAUAAGAGGAGAUAGGGAUAUAUUAUCACAAAAGGAAAGAUGUGACUCUCUCCUGACCUUCAUUAAGAGGGAAAAAAACUCAUUUAGAGCUGGCCUUCCUUGCAGGGGGAUUUGAGCCUUUUGCAUGAGACUGCGACUCCCUAGAUAAGAUUUGCAGAGUAUAACUGAGAAUCCACUAAACAAUAACAACAUGCAUGUCCAGAAAAAGAUAAUACAAUAAAUAGUCCUUCACAGGUUUGUAUAAAUUGCAGAUAAAUGUAUUUAGAUAGUUGCUAUGUAAACAGACUAAUUUUUGACAGUUUCUUGGUCACAACACACAAAUAUGCUGUAUAUAUGUACUGUAUAACCUUAUUCCCCGUAGCCACAAUACUUUCAGUGUCCCCACCAACAAUACAACAUAUUUAGAAAAGUUGGAGAGGAGUUGGAUAGACAUCAAGAGGAUACAAGAAGACCCAUCUUGUCUUCACCGACUUUUAUUUUUCCUACAUGACAUCUGCUUAAUGCCGAUCAUGUAUCGGUAGUGUGAUUAUCAAAUUUGUUUUCAUCUGCAUGAACAACAUCCUAAUCACUCAUUGGCUCUCCAAAGAUUGGCAUGUCUCUGUAAGGUUGUCUACGGUCUGAGAGCAGAGUAAAGAUGAUUCAGACUACAUUAAUGUGAUGUCUGGUGAAUAGAACUACUCAACAAAAAAUGGUACUUAACCACAGUGUUCUCACUCCCAACUCAUCACAAGCUCAGUCCGCAGCUUCAAACAAGGUCUAGUAUCAGUUUUACACGUGUUGGGGACAGCGUGUCAGUUAUCACUCAUCACAUGCAUAGUGAUAUUGGAAUGCGCCAUCAGAUUGUUACUUAAAUUGUUCACACGUUUCUACGCAAUGAAAAUAAAAGGGUUUAAUUCUCUUUUUUUCUUCGUUUUUAGUGCUUUUACUCAACCCUAUAUAUGAAGUACAGGGGGACACAGAGAGCAUCUGGUGUCCUAAAAUGGCACUAUACUCCCUCCCGUAAUAGUUAAUCUAAACUCCUCCCUGUCCUUUGUUUGGAGGUGGAUGCCUCCAAUGUGGAAUAAAGUUUCUCCACUAAAGACCAUCUCCCAAGGUUCAGAAAAACCAUCCUUGUGCCUUUUUUCCUCUUCUUAAAUCUGCUAAACCAAACUAGGAAAUCAGUGGUGGGUGCUGCAGACUAUGCAAGAGGAAGAACAGAACCACUGGCUUACCCCAGAAAAGCAGCCUCCAUCCAGACAGUAAAGGCCAGACUAUCAGCGAGCCAAUUCCACCUUAGUCUCACACGGUCCAAUUAUCAGAAAUAUGAUUUGUUACCCGACCUCAACCACAGGUGGACAAACUCAAUUCAAUCAAUGGCUCCUCUGUUAUCUUAGUUUUCGUUGCAAACAUUCGUUCUUUCUUCGAUGACAUUCAUUGGAAACAAAUAGUUUCUGUCUCGGCCCGAUGUGGAAUCAUAAAGGUCUCACACAGGUUUUCUGCCAUCUGGAAGACAACAACAUCAUCUCAUGCACAGCUUCUAAUUUAGUCCAGUACCUUAACCUCUCUCCUGCGAACGAAGAAGAACAACCCAUGACCAGUCACAUCUUCUACCUGCAUUUGUAUGCAAUAUCAAAUGCAUCGGGUCCUCGAUGAUGGUUUCUUGCGCUCCUUGUCAAUCUAACCUCCCAUAUCUUUCCCCCAUCUAGUAGCAGAUGGGACACUUCAACAAGAGCCCUGAGGGUACCCAUCACUUCCUGAUGUCCAGCAAUCAACACUCUGAGACAUCAACUCUAUCAACUCUAGUACUUCUAGAUCUCUCUUUGUGUUGUCAUUCAUGGGUUGGAGAAAGAAGUUCAUACGGGACAUUGUCUGCUUUAGUUUUUUCGCUCAACUUGAAUUAUUUUUUAUCCUUGCUUGCACACCUUGGGUGCAGCUCCUAUCACCAACUUCCAAUGGAAUCAUCCAAAGCAAACUAUGGACAUCAAACUGUUUGCAAGAACAACACCGUGCUUGGGAGAAGGCGCUCUAUGAUUACUGUGCCCAGGAACAUACCUGUAGCUCUGUCUUCCUCCUCUCUAACCGAGAGGAAGUUAAUACUGAAGACAUAGAGGUCAACAGAUUUGUGGGUGAAUAAAGAGUUAUGAAAAGAGUUGUCAAAUCCAGAGAUGGGAUAAUCUUUUAAGAUAAUUUAAGAUCUAUAUAGUCUACAUUAUUAUUGUAUUAAUCAGUGUAAAGCCUUUGGAAGCAUGAGGUAAUUAAACAAAUGCUGUCAUAGCUGAUGAAAUGACGAUGUACACAAUUGAACUCAUACAACAGCCGGCUCUCAACUGUGAUGUUAUUCAAUCUUAUGCUACAUUCUGUAUUUGGAGCUAUUCUGAAAUGUAAUAACAGCUGUUCCUUUAAAGUAUUAUGACACAUUUAUACCCACUCAUUAACUCUCAUUAUGGCCCACAGCCAUAUCUCAUCAGUGGACAUAAUUGGUCGACUGGAGUCCGUCCCAGCACGGACACCCUACACUUUAUUAUAAAUAUGACAUGGAAUAUUGUGAGAUAUAAGUGAGUUUUGAUUAAUUUGGUUAUGAAACAGUGUAGACACACAUUUGGAAAUGUUGCAUUUACUAGGAAAGCACAUAUUUAUGCAACAAACUCUUUUCAUCUCCUACCAACAGGGCCAACAGUGCCUCCACCGAGUGUGAGACCCGAUCCUCGAGACGUGCACACAGCUUCAGCCAGGAUUUGCAGUUGAGAGGUGGUACAAACAGCUGCUUUAGGAAUCGGAGCUGGACUGUAGAAGAUCUCAAGAGACCGCCAGUUCAAAAGACGGUUCAAUUUAAGAGUUCCCAUCGGAAAUGGUUUCAGAAAGUCUUUGCCAUACGUUGGCGCUUUGAUGUGUUUUAACUAUCGUAAUCUUGCUGUUCAGCGAUGGGAUAAUAAAUUAUGUUCAUUAUUCCACCGUAUGUGCUCUCUCUUUUUUGACUUCACAUUACAUUUAACAUUCGCUGCAAAAAUAUGAAAAUAUUACCAUAGAAAUGAGAAUGUGGAACAUAGAUCUAGUUGCAUUUGCUGCAUCAUAGUGAGAGUAUAUGAAACAAAUUAGUUUGUGAUAGUAUAUACACAGUAUAUAGUAUAUAAUGAUUAUGAUAUUUCAAAGAACAGCCAGACUAUUUGGUAAAAACUGACCUUUCUCCUGAAAGACAGUGGUUUUGAUUGGAUCAUAGCGAUCUAUUAGUCCAUCGGGUUUGACCCCCAUCGUGUCACAGUUGGAAGGUGACUCCAUGUCAUAGAGUCAAAGGAUGUCCUUUGAACUCGCUAGGUCAUUUAUUAAUAAAAGAAAAGAUUGAUUUUGUGUCAUAAGAAUCCUUUUCAGUUUUUUUCCUAACUAGCAGUCGUCUUUGGCUUACGUUGUGACCUACACGUUGCUUUCUAUCAAGUGUCACAUUUAGAUAUAUAUGCAUUCGCAGGUAAAUCUCUGAUAGCUGUCUAUUCAAAAGCAAACAAAACUUGAAAAGAGGAUAUAACCUCAACUCAGAACUCUGGAGGGGUGGACUAAGAUUGAAAUUGGUCCGACUCUUUCUCUCUCUCUCUCUCUCCCUCUCUCUCUCCCCCCCUCUCUUUCUCCCUCUCUUGAAUUGAGGGUCCAUUGUUGUGCGUCAAACAAAAGCUUUUUAUCACAGGCUCUUAAUGUAACCCCGUCUCCUCACUCUCACGGCCACCAACUCGUUCUCCUCUUCCUCUCUUUUCUCAUUCAUUUAUUCCACUGUGUGUGGAAAUAGGCUGGGCAACAAUUAAUUUCAGAGUGAAUUCAGGCAGGAUCUAUUACCCCUCUCUGCCUCUAUUGCUCUAAUGGAAAUCUAUUUCACUUCUCUUUUGUGUCCAAUAUAAUUUAAUGCCCAUUUUAUUAAUGGCCUGAAAUAAUUACGGAAGGCUUUUGUGAUUCUUGAGUAUGUUUCAUUUAAUUGUGUAAUAAAUGUCUAAUCAGGGCUCCCAUCUGAAGCCAUUAUGGCAUUAAAAUUAACAAUUACGCCACAAAUGUCUUGGUGAAUGCGUUGGGGUCUAUAGAAAUCGUUGCUGAUAACAAGACACAUAUAAAUCAUUCAUGAGAAUUUUUUUUCAGAGAAAAGCGGAGUGAGAGAUAGGAGGGUGGGAGGGAGAAAAAAAGAAAGUGGGGGAAGAAAAGAGGAGAAGAAAGAGGCUGAGUUUUCUUUAUUCCAUUGAAAAACCGGGGAUGGCCAAACGAUAGGGCAUUUUAAAACUGUGUCACCCUCUCCAGUUCCUUUCUUCCCCCGUCUCUCUCUAUCUCCCUUUAAUUUGCCUUCCUCUUUAUUUUUGAAGUGACAGAUUUCACUUUGGGAAUUCAUUAACCGUUAACUUGGGCGAUAAAAUAUCUAUCAGGCCCUCUGCCCGGUUCCUUUGCUAAGCUGCGUGGCGCUCCGGUUCAUCGUUGUGGGUGACCGAAGGCAAUUAAAGAGGCUUCACACUCCCUCACUCCCCCAGUGUCACUUCCUCAGUGAAAACAGGAAGGCUGCUCAACGUACCAGCAAGAAUUGUUUUCUUAGUAGCCAAGUAUACAAAUUUCAUGGUGUGGGGAAACUCCAUCUGCUGCAAGAAACCCUCGUCAGUUCCUCUGUGUCAUUUCGAAGCUAAUAUACUACAAUUGGUUUUGGUGAAUCUAUUUUAGCAGCAUAAGGUUUUGGCCUUCUUUGUUCUCUAUUACCAUGAUGCACAAAGGGCCUCCCGGGGCAAUGGAUUGGACCUUGGUCCCAACCAGACUCUUUCAAGUGACUUAAUCAAGUGCCUUUGAUGUCGAUGACAUCACUUGUUAAUAAGAGGGCCGAUUUUAUUCUCGAUCCAACAUCCAUUUUUUGAAUUGCGCAAUCUUGGAUAAGUUGGUUGAUAUGAGCCGUCUCUGACUCUGCCUCCUUUCUGCUGCUGGAGUUCCAAUGAUUCAGCCACUGGUUAGUCAACUAGGCCAGCUCCAGCCUCGGACAAAUGUGUUCAUGCUAAAUGUUUCCGUUGCUCAUAUGCACUGCCGAUCUAAGAGCUGUACGUCCAGCUUUUUAAGAUAAAAAGAAAAUGUGAGAUGUAUUGUACGAGGCUCGUACAUUCAUGACAAGUUCAUCUGUAAUUCUAUGUAUUGUAUAUUGAUCAUUUCUUUGUUUUGUUCUUAAACGUGGAACCUUCACUGUCAAUGACGCAUUUUAACCACUUAUAUAAUAAUGUAAAAUCUUUAUAAGUCUUGAUAACAGAAACAGCAGAACUUUGCAAGCAAACUACUUUGCUGUUCAGCCAAGCUGUCUUAUAACGGCCCAAAGCCUCUUGUGAUUAGUUAUCUUUAAAAGGUCGUGUCCUGAUAUUAGAAGAAUUCCUUAAUCGUUCAGAAUGAUUCUUCAGUACAUUAUAGAAAAACUAAUAACCCAGUUUAUGGGCUAAUGUCGGCCCACAUGGAACAAUAGAUCCAACUUACUGGAGAUUUCUUUCCCAGGAAUGCCAUAGAUUUUUUGAUUGAUGAAUGCAUUGAUAUAUGCAGUAUACAUAUCAGGAACCACUGAAUGCCCCAUUAAGGCAUACUUUAAAAAAGAUAACGAUACCGAUAAAAAAAUAAGAACUAGAGGCAAAUUCUAAUUCAAACUCAAUGAAUUCACGGAAAGAAGAGCAAACCCGCACAGGCCCUCAGAGAGAGAAAUGACAAACUGAACACAAAUCACUUCAACCAUCUCAGCUAUUUACUACAUUUCUCCCUAUUAGGGCUUCUUUUGUUGAAACAGAUCUCCUAUACAAUUAUGCAUUUAACUGAUGUGCAAAUUAACCUUGGCAUUUUUACAAAAGCACUUGUGUCCACGCCUUCAACCCCCUUCUUCUUCCAACCAAUUUAAUUCCAAGCUCCAGAUUUCAUGGUAAAUUUUAUCUCCCUCACACUCAAAGACUCCAUCAUCAAUUCUUCGCAACUUUUCUUGUCCCCUUUCUCUGCAGAUUCACUGCGAAAAUUGGCCAUUCAGGUUAUCAAAUAACCGUGACCGCUAUAAUUCUACGGCAACACCCGUUGCUUUGAAUAUGCAUCGGGAAGGCUGACCUGCAGCGGCAAUUAGUCUCUGUUUAUCCUUCACACAAAUCACACAGCUCCUGCUGUUCUUUCUUUCACGCUCUUUUUUUUCAGCUGAGUAAGAGGACUGAAACAGCCAGGAAGUCAAUCCUCACUUAAAGCCAACUCCACCUCUUUAAUUCAUGCUCUGGUGAAAUCAUGAUAUAAAUAUAGUUAAAGGCACAUUUCAAGCAACAGUAGAUGAACAGCUCAGUUGGCUGUCAUUUUUUCUCACCAGAUUUCAGUCAUGUUGAAUUUGCACAUUUGCGCAUGUAUAGAAAAAUGGAAAUGGCCACAGAGAAUAAGAGGAACCAAGGAAGUGUAACAACAACAGCGUCUGCCAAAAAGCUUGGUUUCCUGACAUUAUAGGCAAGUUCCUGAGCGAUGCUCAUCAUCCCCAGAGGAGAAGCCUCCCUGUUAGCUGCGCAAAAAAAGGUCUGUGUGUUUAUGGAUCACGAUGGGCUGUAAUGUCAUCAGCUUGAUACACAUUUAGAGAUGCAGGGAGCGACUUUGCAACAGCUGAUGGGGAUGUCGCACUUUGGACGGAAG